RNAcentral lists this ribosomal RNA (2069 nucleotides) under Gemmatimonadaceae bacterium. RNAcentral's name for it is "partial 23S ribosomal RNA". It matches the Rfam family "Bacterial large subunit ribosomal RNA", at positions 1 to 2034 of the family's 2925-position model. The record is from RNAcentral. Lineage: Bacteria; Pseudomonadati; Gemmatimonadota; Gemmatimonadia; Gemmatimonadales; Gemmatimonadaceae.
UUUGAUCAAGCGAAAGAAAGUAUGUGGGGGAUGCCUAGGUACACAGAGGCGAUGAAGGCCGUGGUAAGCUGCGAUAAGCCAGGGGGAGCUGCACACAAGCUACGAUCCCUGGAUGGCCGAAUGGGGAAACCCGGCUGUCAGUGAUGGCAGUCACACUCUACGGAGUGAGCAAACCGAGGGAACUGAAACAUCUAAGUACCUCGAGGAAAGAGAAAUCAACCGAGAUGCCCUAAGUAGCGGCGAGCGAAAGGGGCCCAAGCCCAAACCGUUGCUCUUGUAGCAACGGGGUUGUAGGACCUACGGACGCUUCGUCCAAGUGUUAGCGGAAUUCUCCUGGAAUGGAGAGCCAUAGACGGUGAUAGCCCGGUACGCAUAAACCAAAGGAUGAAGUAGUAGUGUUCCUGAGUAACGCCCGAGUUCCGAGGAAUCGGGCGUGAAACCGGGGGGACCACCCUCCAAGGCUAAAGACUCCUGUGUGACCGAUAGUGAACGAGUACCGUGAGGGAAAGGUGAAAAGUACCCCAGUGCGGGGAGUGAAAUAGUUUCUGAAACCACAUACUUACAAGCGGUAGGAGGCUGGGUGUGAUCUUCGGAUUGCAUCACGGCUGACUGCGUGCCUUUUGCAUUAUGAUCCGGCGAGUUACUCCUCAGCAGCGUAGGCUAAGCGGUUAGGCCGCGGAGCCACAGCGAAAGCGAGUCCUGUAACGAGGGCGAUUUAGUUGCUGGGGGUAGACCCGAAGCCAGGGCGAUCUACCCAUGUGCAGGGUGAAGCGCGGGUAACACCGCGUGGAGGCCCGAACCGGUACGGGUUGAAAACCGUUCGGAUGACGUGUGGGUAGGGGUGAAAGGCCAAUCAAGCCUGGAGAUAGCUGGUUCUCCCCGAAAUCUAUUGAGGUAGAGCCUCAGGAAGUGUUUGCAGGAGGUAGAGCGACUGGAUGGGCGCGGGGGGUCGAAGACCCUACCAACCCCAACCAAACUCCGAAUACCUGCUAAAUGAAUCCUGGGAGGCAGUCGCUGAGCGAUAAUGUCCAGCGGCGAGAGGGAAAGAACCCAGAACCACAGCUAAGGCCCCAAAGUGGCCGCUAAGUAUAGCGAAGGAUGUGAACGUGCCGUGACAACUGGGAGGUUGGCUUAGAAGCAGCCAUUCCUUGAAAGAGUGCGUAAUAGCUCACCAGUCCAGCGUGUUUGCGCCGAGAAUGGUCGGGAUUAAGCGGCCCGCCGAAGCUUGGUCUUCAUACUAUGUAUGAGGGGUAGGGGAGCGUUCCCAUCUGCAUUGAAGCGACCGUGGAAACGAGUCGUGGAGCGUUGGGAAGUGAGGAUGCCGGAAUGAGUACGCGCGAAUCAAAGUGAAAACCUUUGACACCGAAAACCCAAGGAUUCCUGCGCCAUGGCAAUCAGCGCAGGGUGAGGCGGACCCUAAGGCGAGGCCCCAGAGGCGUAGUCGAUGGACAGCCGGUUAACAUUCCGGCCCCGCCAGUUGCACGUUAUUACCCCAGGAGGGACCCUGGAACGAAUGGGCAGCGGUCUUGUGGAUUGACCGUCUAACCGCGUAGGCGCAAGCCGAGACGGGAAUGUAAGGAUGCGGGGCAACCCAAAUCCAAUUGCUCAAUAGUAGACAGGCAAGAAAAGCUUCUGUGGGGAGUUCAACUGUGCGUCCGUACCGUAAACCGACACAGGUGGGUGAGGCGAGUAGCCUAAGGUGAACGAGUGAAACGUGGUCAAGGAACUCGGCAUAAUGAUCCCGUAACUUCGGAAGAAGGGAUGCCCUUUUCGGUAUCCAUUUUUACAGUGGAUGCUGAGGAGGGCCGCAGAUAAUCGGCUCAAGCGACUGUUUAGCAAAAACACAGGUGAGUGCCAAGCCGCACAAGGCGCCGUAUACUCACUGACGCCUGCCCGGUGCCGGAAGGUUAAGGGGAGGGAUUAUCCCGUAAGGGAGAAGUCCUGAGCCGAAGCCCCGGUAAACGGCGGCCGUAACUAUAACGGUCCUAAGGUAGCGAAAUUCCUUGUCGGGUAAGUUCCGACCUGCACGAAUGGCGUAACGACUUGAGCACUGUCUCGACCACGUGCUC